CUCACAUAGCCAGCACACCCGCUCAAGGGGAAAUAAGGGAAGAGAGCCAGGAACACCUUGACAGGAGACUUGCUCUCAUGCUCGAGAAGGGGGGAUGACGCAAAAAGGCCGACUGACCUGGGCAGCCGCUUCCCCCAACACAGAUCCCGUGAUGACCCUCCAGGGAGCGGGCAGGGGAGGCGAGGGCCCAGUUCACUCAGGGACCUAGAGGGCCACAAGGCAGCACAUUGAAGGCAGGGCGCGGGAG
Non-coding RNA from Pelobates cultripes (western spadefoot toad), 247 nucleotides. Lineage: Eukaryota; Metazoa; Chordata; Amphibia; Anura; Pelobatidae. The record is from the annotation of a GenBank genome assembly.